AGUUUUUUUUUGACCCAAGUCUAGGUCGGUUGCUGUUGUCAGCGACAGCUACUCUAGACUUUCCUUCUCAACUCUUACUCAAUACGUCCGCGACGUACUGAACGGUAGCUUGUCGCCUAAAUAUCCAAGCUUGGGUACACGGGGAAACCCACCUUGGGCGGGUUGGGCGGCAAGGCCGAAUUGAGCGGG
Molecule: ribozyme, 189 nt
Filed under: Anopheles sinensis
Lineage: Eukaryota; Metazoa; Arthropoda; Insecta; Diptera; Culicidae
Description: drz-agam-2-2 ribozyme
Rfam family: drz-agam-2-2 ribozyme
Source: Rfam by way of RNAcentral